Gordionus sp. m RMFG-2023 is the source of this 792-nucleotide long non-coding RNA. RefSeq lists it as uncharacterized. Lineage: Eukaryota; Metazoa; Nematomorpha; Gordioida; Chordodea; Parachordodidae. The record is from RefSeq and is a predicted model, not a curated record. The transcript is spliced from 5 exons.
AGGUAAUUCUAUUUAGAAUAUUUGGAUGAUUCAAUAAAAUCAAGCAAAACUUACUGCAGAAAUUAAUGGGUUAAACGUUGAAUUUGGGAUUGGUCAAAUAUCCUCUGCCGAAGGAGGGAGCAUAUUUUACUUUGCUGCCAAAAUUACUUAAAGAUGACCUCAAGUUUUAUAAUUACAUGCGCAUUAAAAAAAUACCUAGCAACUGGUAAUUCAUAUGUCACCUUGUCAUAUUCUCAUAAACUUGGGGUGUCAACUAUAAAACUAAUAAUAGGAGAAACCACAAAAGCUAUAUGGGAUAUUAUUCAACCCAUCCAUAUGAAGGUCCCAACAUUGGAGAUGUUUGAGGAAGUUGCUAAGGGCUUUGAUGAAAGGUGGAACUUCCCAAACUGUAUAGGUGCCAUUGAUGGGAAACAUUGUAAAACAAAAAAGCCUCUACACUGGAACCCAAUUUUUUGAAGCAAAUAGGCAUUGUUUUAACGUUGAGGCUGACAUCCUAUUCCUCUUCUUAGUAAUGGUUACGCCGGCUCGAGAAAAAAUACGUUCGCUUGCUACGGACGUAGUUUGUUCGCAUAAGUAAUCCUUGGCCAUUGUCGACAGCUUUGGAAAACGAUUAGCGUUUCGAGACCACCAAUCUAUAAUAUCAACAGAGGUUUGAGCAACGGGAUCUGUUAAAUAUUCUUCGAUUUCUUCUCCGUCUAAAUUAGCAUAAUAAUACUGACAGACAUUAGAUUGGAUUCAUUAUUAUCCUCCUCUUCGAAAUCAUAUAUUGAUUUCGAUGUACCAUAAUCAUCA